Molecule: ribosomal RNA, 468 nt
Filed under: uncultured bacterium
Lineage: Bacteria
Description: partial 16S ribosomal RNA
Rfam family: Bacterial small subunit ribosomal RNA
Source: RNAcentral
GACGAACGCUGGCGGCGUGCUUAACACAUGCAAGUCGAACGGAAAGGCCCUGCUUUUGUGGGGUGCUCGAGUGGCGAACGGGUGAGUAACACGUGAGUAACCUGCCCUUGACUUUGGGAUAACUUCAGGAAACUGGGGCUAAUACCGGAUAGGAGCUCCUGCUGCAUGGUGGGGGUUGGAAAGUUUCGGCGGUUGGGGAUGGACUCGAGGCUUAUCAGCUUGUUGGUGGGGUAGUGGCUUACCAAGGCUUUGACGGGUAGCCGGCCUGAGAGGGUGACCGGCCACAUUAGGACUGAGAUACGGCCCAGACUCCUACGGGAGGCAACAGUGGGGAAUAUUGCACAAUGGGCGGAAGCCUGAUGCAGCAACGCCGCGUGCGGGAUGACGGCCUUCGGGUUGUAAACCGCUUUCGCCUGUGACGAAGCGUGAGUGACGGUAAUGGGUAAAGAAGCACCGGCUAACUACGUG